RNAcentral lists this ribosomal RNA (572 nucleotides) under Staphylococcus coagulans. RNAcentral's name for it is "partial 23S ribosomal RNA". It matches the Rfam family "Bacterial large subunit ribosomal RNA", at positions 1 to 566 of the family's 2925-position model. Lineage: Bacteria; Bacillati; Bacillota; Bacilli; Caryophanales; Staphylococcaceae. The record is from RNAcentral.
AGAUUAAGUUAUUAAGGGCGCACGGUGGAUGCCUUGGCACUAGAAGCCGAUGAAGGACGUUACUAACGACGAUAUGCUUUGGGGAGCUGUAAGUAAGCUUUGAUCCAGAGAUUUCCGAAUGGGGGAACCCAGCACGAGUUAUGUCGUGUUAUCCGCAUAUGAAUUCAUAGUAUGUGAGAAGGUAGACCCGGAGAACUGAAACAUCUUAGUACCCGGAGGAAGAGAAAGAAAAAUCGAUUCCCUGAGUAGCGGCGAGCGAAACGGGAAGAGCCCAAACCAACAAGCUUGCUUGUUGGGGUUGUAGGACACUCUAUACGGAGUUACAAAAGUAUUUGUUAGACGAAUAACCUGGAAAGGUUAAUCAGAGAAGGUAAUAAUCCUGUAGUCGAAAACGAAUACCCUCUUGAGUGGAUCCUGAGUACGACGGAGCACGUGAAAUUCCGUCGGAAUCUGGGAGGACCAUCUCCUAAGGCUAAAUACUCUCUAGUGACCGAUAGUGAACCAGUACCGUGAGGGAAAGGUGAAAAGUACCCCGGAAGGGGAGUGAAAGAGAACUUGAAACCGUGUGCUUA